This 399-nucleotide ribosomal RNA is filed under the name uncultured bacterium. RNAcentral describes it as "partial 16S ribosomal RNA". It matches the Rfam family "Bacterial small subunit ribosomal RNA", at positions 360 to 773 of the family's 1533-position model. The record is from RNAcentral.
AAUAUUGCGCAAUGGAGGAAACUCUGACGCAGCGACGCCGCGUGAGCGAUGAAGGUCUNCGGAUCNUNAAGCUCUGUCCUCAGGGNCGAAGAAAGUGACGGUACCUGAGGAGGAAGCCCCGGCUAACUACGUGCCAGCAGCCGCGGUAAUACGUAGGGGGCAAGCGUUGUCCGGAAUUAUUGGGCAUAAAGGGUGCGUAGGCGGCCUUUUAAGUAAGAUGUGAAAGCCCACGGCUUAACCGCGGGACUGCAUUUGAAACUGGAGGGCUUGAGUAUCGGAGAGGGUAGUGGAAUUCCCAGUGUAGCGGUGGAAUGCGUAGAUAUUGGGAGGAACACCAGUGGCGAAGGCGACUACCUGGUCAAAAACUGACGCUGAGGCACGAAAGCUAGGGGAGCAAAC